AUAGCGUAUAUUAAAGUUGUUGCAGUUAAAAAGCUCGUAGUUGAACUUCAGACCUGGCUGGGCGGUCUGCUUAACGGCAUGUACUGUCUGGCCGAGGCUUACCUCUUGGUGAGCCAGUGUGCCCUUUAUUGGUGUGCAUUGGGGAACCAGGACUUUUACCUUGAGAAAAUUAGAGUGUUCAAAGCAGGCCUAUGCCCGAAUACAUUAGCAUGGAAUAAUAAAAUAGGACGUGCGGUUCUAUUUUGUUGGUUUCUAGAGUCGCCGUAAUGAUUAAUAGGGAUAGUUGGGGGCAUUGGUAUUGAGUCGCUAGAGGUGAAAUUCUUGGAUUUAUUGAAGACUAACUACUG
Molecule: ribosomal RNA, 347 nt
Filed under: uncultured eukaryote
Lineage: Eukaryota
Description: SSU rRNA
Rfam family: Eukaryotic small subunit ribosomal RNA
Source: RNAcentral